Molecule: long non-coding RNA, 951 nt
Organism: Rhagoletis pomonella (apple maggot)
Lineage: Eukaryota; Metazoa; Arthropoda; Insecta; Diptera; Tephritidae
Exons: 3
Source: RefSeq, a predicted model, not a curated record
GGUUAUUCAUGGAUACCAUAAAAAGAGAUACAAAACUACAUCAAUGCUGUUGGCAUAAUACUCGCUUCUCUGCCUGAGAAAUGUUGGAAGGCAAAUGAUCCCCAUAGUGAGCCGCUGAUACCUAUGUGUCUUCAGUUGGUAAUUGCAUAGUUACUGCCGCGAGUGCGGUUCACAAUGCUCUUUGCCGCAUUCUUUUUGGCAUGGUCGUUUGUUGAACCAGCCCACAUAACAGACGCUCGUUUGGCAAGUUCUAUUUCCGUUGCUUGAUAAUGUGCGUGCGCUUUCCAGUACGGGAAGCAGUGAGAAGGUGGAUGGUGCUGCCUUGAGUAAAAAUUGUGAAGACUCGCUGGCCGCACUAAAAUCUCUGCAAGAAAUUAUGCAUGACAAUGCAGACAAAUUGGCGUCACUUGCUAACGAGGAAACAGCGGAAACAAAGAUGAGGAAUUUGCAGGAUUGCAUGGAAUAUUUGGCUAAAUACCGGCAUUGAAAGCACAAAGAUCACAACGAAAAACAACCAUGCCAAAGAGGAGUUUUAUGUGCCUAGUCAGGCAUUUUUAAUAGCGCUAACACAAAUUUUCUAGCACAUACAACUGCGGGGGGUGAUACAUCAUUGAAUUCGAAUGUCUUCACUGGGCGCUUGGCGGUUACUGCUUUACUACAUCGAUUCCAAUACGUUUUGAAGCGUUUCAAUGACGACGAACGGCUGAUGGGCGCCGUGCAAGGGUCACAGUAGUUCAUUCCGGGGUAUUGGUCGUAACUAUCAGUGAAGUGCACAGCUGCCAAAUGCGCAUUAAGUCAAUUAAAGAACCAGUUUGAUAACAAAGAAGGAUCAUACCACAACAUUACCGGCACCCUGACACUUAUUGAAUAAGUACCAAAUAAGUAAAUACAUAUCGUCACCUGAAAUGCAAAAAGACGUAACAAUAUCGUAAAUGAGAUUGAAAAAGUCGU